GCUCCCAUCCUCUAACUGGAAUAGGAGGCUGGCCUCUCAAGCCGGUAAUACGGGUUCGAGUCCCGUUGGGAGUA
RNAcentral lists this transfer RNA (74 nucleotides) under Siphoviridae sp. ctDhw1. RNAcentral's name for it is "tRNA-Glu". It matches the Rfam family "tRNA". From Rfam's summary of the family: Transfer RNA (tRNA) molecules are approximately 80 nucleotides in length. Their secondary structure includes four short double-helical elements and three loops (D, anti-codon, and T loops). Further hydrogen bonds mediate the characteristic L-shaped molecular structure. tRNAs have two regions of fundamental functional importance: the anti-codon, which is responsible for specific mRNA codon recognition, and the 3' end, to which the tRNAs corresponding amino acid is attached (by aminoacyl-tRNA synthetases). tRNAs cope with the degeneracy of the genetic code in two manners: having more than one tRNA (with a specific anti-codon) for a particular amino acid; and 'wobble' base-pairing, i.e. permitting non-standard base-pairing at the 3rd anti-codon position. Lineage: Duplodnaviria; Heunggongvirae; Uroviricota; Caudoviricetes. The record is from RNAcentral.